CCAAAGGCUCUUUUAAGAGACACCCACAUUGCAAUAAGAUUAUUCU
Molecule: non-coding RNA, 46 nt
Organism: Salmo salar (Atlantic salmon)
Lineage: Eukaryota; Metazoa; Chordata; Actinopteri; Salmoniformes; Salmonidae
Source: Rfam